UCCUAGUUCGUCUAACGGUCUAAGAUACGGCACUUUCAUUGCGUCAACAAGAUAUAAUUAGAGCUGCUGAGAUCGGGGUUCGAUUCCCCGGCUGGGAA
Sporisorium reilianum f. sp. reilianum is the source of this 98-nucleotide non-coding RNA. The record is from the annotation of a GenBank genome assembly. Lineage: Eukaryota; Fungi; Basidiomycota; Ustilaginomycetes; Ustilaginales; Ustilaginaceae.